GACAGCCAAGGGCUACACAAAGAUCUGGGAGACCUAUUAAAUCUAUUUGUAGUAGGCUGAAAGCCAAGGAAGGCCGGAUUAGGGGUAACCUGAUGGGGAAACGUGUGGAUUUUUCUGCACGUACAGUCAUCACACCUGAUCCCACUAUUAAUAUUGAUGAACUAGGUGUGCCUUGGAGUAUUGCAUUGAAUCUCACCUAUCCAGAAACUGUGACUCCAUAUAACAUUGAAAGGUUGAAGGAGCUUGUUGAAUAUGGGCCACAUCCUCCCCCGGGUAAAACUGGUGCAAAGUAUAUCAUAAGGGAUGAUGGUCAAAGACUUGAUCUUCGUUAU
This 332-nucleotide unclassified non-coding RNA is filed under the name Hevea brasiliensis (rubber tree). Lineage: Eukaryota; Viridiplantae; Streptophyta; Magnoliopsida; Malpighiales; Euphorbiaceae. The record is from RNAcentral.